UACGGAAUGUGCAAACGUUAUUCGGAAUCACUGGGCUUAAAGAGUCCGUAGGCGGCUUGUUAGGUGAGGUGUGAAAUCCCUCGGCCCAACCGAGGAAUUGCGCUUCAAACCGGCAAGCUAGAGGAGGAUAGAGGUGGGCGGAACUGAUGGUGGAGCGGUGAAGUGCGUUGAUAUCAUCAGGAACACCGGAGGCGAAGGCGGUCCACUGGGUCCUUUCUGACGCUGAGGGACGAAAGCUAGGGGAGCGAACGGG
Molecule: ribosomal RNA, 253 nt
Filed under: uncultured bacterium
Lineage: Bacteria
Description: partial 16S ribosomal RNA
Rfam family: Bacterial small subunit ribosomal RNA
Source: RNAcentral